AGAGUUUGAUCCUGGCUCAAGAUCAGUCGUAACAAGGUAGCCAGAGUUUGAUCCUGGUUCGAGAGAGUGGUAAACUGGUGACCAACACGUGGGAAACCUGCCCAGAAGCGGGGGAUAACACCUGGAAACAGAUGCUAAUACCGCAUAACAACUUGGACCGCAUGGUCCGAGUUUGAAAGAUGGCUUCGGCUAUCACUUUUGGAUGGUCCCGCGGCGUAUUAGCUAGAUGGUGGGGUAACGGCUCACCAUGGCAAUGAUACGUAGCCGACCUGAGAGGGUAAUCGGCCACAUUGGGACUGAGACACGGCCCAAACUCCUACGGGAGGCAGCAGUAGGGAAUCUUCCACAAUGGACGAAAGUCUGAUGGAGCAACGCCGCGUGAGUGAAGAAGGGUUUCGGCUCGUAAAACUCUGUUGUUAAAGAAGAACAUAUCUGAGAGUAACUGUUCAGGUAUUGACGGUAUUUAACCAGAAAGCCACGGCUAACUACGUGCCAGCAGCCGCGGUAAUACGUAGGUGGCAAGCGUUGUCCGGAUUUAUUGGGCGUAAAGCGAGCGCAGGCGGUUUUUUAAGUCUGAUGUGAAAGCCUUCGGCUCAACCGAAGAAGUGCAUCGGAAACUGGGAGAC
This 626-nucleotide ribosomal RNA is filed under the name Lactiplantibacillus pentosus. RNAcentral describes it as "bacterial SSU rRNA". It matches the Rfam family "Bacterial small subunit ribosomal RNA", at positions 8 to 641 of the family's 1533-position model. Lineage: Bacteria; Bacillati; Bacillota; Bacilli; Lactobacillales; Lactobacillaceae. The record is from RNAcentral.